This 543-nucleotide long non-coding RNA is filed under the name Olea europaea subsp. europaea. Lineage: Eukaryota; Viridiplantae; Streptophyta; Magnoliopsida; Lamiales; Oleaceae. The record is from RNAcentral.
CACAUAUUGUAAAGGAUAAUAGCGACUUCUAAUAGAGACAGAGAGAUGGACGCACCCGAGGUUCAAUCCAUUGAGACUUCCAGCAAAGACUUACCUCUUCCUCAAGAAGACGAACCAGACAAAGCUAUCAAUGAAUGGUAAAAUCUUUUAUUAUCUGUAUAUUUUGAUUGUUGUAAUUAUAUAUAGUGCAAGUUUGUAAAUUGUUGGUUCAUGAUGAAUUGCAGUUGCUCCUGCUUUUAUGACUGCACGGAUUCCCUCAUUGACUACUUUUGCUGCACCGACAUCUGUUAAUUUCUUCAAUUUUAUUUUCUUCUUGUAUUUAUUGGAGAUAUGCACAUCGCGCGGAUGUGCAUUUACUUCAUUUUUGUUCUUCAGAUCCGUUUCUGUGCUCCUUUUCGUUCUGAAUUAACUUUAUUUUCGUUAUAACACUAGUCAAUUUCAGCUCUCAGUUAUUUUCUCCUUUUAAACAAAAUUAAUAAUGCAAGAAUAUUUACUCAAACUAAUUGAUGAUUGCUAACGAGAUUUUAGCAAUUAAUGAUUGAA